This 1009-nucleotide long non-coding RNA is filed under the name Monodelphis domestica (gray short-tailed opossum). Its description in RNAcentral is "lncRNA (ENSMODG00000051148.1)". Lineage: Eukaryota; Metazoa; Chordata; Mammalia; Didelphimorphia; Didelphidae. The record is from RNAcentral.
CAUGCCUUAUGAUCAGAAUGAUAAAAAGAAGAAAAGCAAACCGUUAACAACCACGUAAAAAUGUUCCAAAUCACCAAGAAUAGAAAUGUAAUUUGUUACAACUCUGUGGUCUACCUCACUGCUAUCUCAUUGAGAAAGACAACAAUUAAAAUUGUUGGAGGCAUAAUAAUAUACCCUAAAGGAAGUUCUGAAUUGCUCUAAUCAUCCUGGAAAAAAAAACAAUUAAAACUAUAUCCCUAAAAAUUACUAAAUUGUGAGUAAUCUUGAUCUCAAAGAUACUUCCACUAGGCAUAUACUUCAAAGAGGUAAAAAACAUAGGGGGAAAGCCCUAUAGCUAUCCCAAAACAUUUUAUAGCAGCUCUUCAUAUGAUAGCAAAAAAAAAAUUAGAAAUGGUGGGGAUGCCCAUCAACUGGGGAAGAACUGAAUAAAUUGACAUAUGUAAUAGAAUAUUAUUGUGUUUCAAGAAAUGAUGAAAAGGUCAGAUUCAGAAAAAUCUAAACACAGUUGUAAAAAUUGAUGGAAAAUGUAGUGAACCAGAUGAGAACAUUUCUCUUUGCAGUAACUAAUAAUAAUGCCAAGGAAAACAACUCUGAAAGAUUUGAGAACUCUCUUCAGUGGAAUGACCAAUGAAAAUUCCAGAAGAUUAAUAAGGAAGCAUGCUUUCCACUUCUUGGCAGAGGUAUAACAGACUUACGGAACAGAAUGAAACAUUUUCAGACACAAGCAAUUUCUUCCUCUGGAUGUGGAUAGUGUUUGUUCUCAUCCCUCAGAAUUGUCCAGGGUCAUUGCAUUGCUGCUAGAAGAGAAGUCUAUUACAUUUGAUUGUGCCACAGUAAAGGCAUUUAUUAAGAUGGCAUAAUAAGAACAGUACCUCCAAAGCUUCCCUUUUCCCAUCUUCCUCCUUCCUGGUCUGAGGUAUGCUCUCCCACAAAUAUACAAAAUAUCCUUGGGUAAAAUGGGCACAAACUACAAUGACAGUGAGGUAGAGAAUAUAAGUGGCCAAUAUGA